CAGACUGCAGUGAAACGGAUUAACUCUCGUCAAGCCAGCAACCCAAGCUCCAACCACUGAACAAUUAUCUUUCUCUCCAACUGCUGAGCCUGUUCAGACUGACAACACAGUCCAAGGACCUGAGGAGGUCAAGGAGAAGGUCACCAUGAGACGAGGGAGAACAUUCUUCUACGUUGUCAAGCGGCUGAUGUGGAUGUGGUGUAGGAAUCAAC
Molecule: long non-coding RNA, 212 nt
Organism: Coregonus clupeaformis (lake whitefish)
Lineage: Eukaryota; Metazoa; Chordata; Actinopteri; Salmoniformes; Salmonidae
Exons: 3
Source: RefSeq, a predicted model, not a curated record